Cyprinus carpio (common carp) is the source of this 707-nucleotide long non-coding RNA. RefSeq lists it as uncharacterized. Lineage: Eukaryota; Metazoa; Chordata; Actinopteri; Cypriniformes; Cyprinidae. The record is from RefSeq and is a predicted model, not a curated record. The transcript has 3 exons.
GAACCUAUCAGUGUCCUACUCCUUUGUGAUUGGUUAAUAUGGUUUAAGUCCUAUUAACCUAUCAGUGUUGGCAUUGAGAAUAUAAAAACAGAAGGGCUUGAUUGCUCAGGAUGCAUCAUCCUUGGUACUGGACCUUUCUGGAAGUACAUCAUUAUGAACAAGGGAUAGGGGUUGGUGCAUCCUCCUGUUGUUCUGUUUUAUCAGAUAGGCCUUUUUCAGCAUUCUAGUGGCCGUGGUCUUGCGUGGUGAGCGACUAUGCAUAUUGCUACAUGGUGUAAUUGCACAUCCAGAGGUUUCCAGUAACUUGAUUGGAGACUAACGUACAUCAGUGAUGUGACUGCACUGUUGCUUUGUUUUUAGUGUUUGUUGGGUGAUUGUUUUAACUUUGUCUUUCUUGGUCUUAUUUUGGUUAAUUUUGUUUGUAUGGGUUCCAUUUUUAGUUUUUUUUUAUUUUAUUUAGGUUUUUAUUCAUGAGCAGCCAUUCAUUAACGUGUGUUUGAAUUAUCUGGGAGGCAAGUAAGAUUUGGCCUUGGUCGGCCACUUGUUCCUCUUGUUGUUGCAUAUGACUGCUGAUUUUUAUUUUUUACAAGUAGUUAAAUCUGUGUGUGUGUGUGGGUGGGUGGUUGGGCUCCUUUUGGAGUAGAUUGUUCUGUUGUGGUAUGAAAGUGAGAAUUUUCUAUUUUUGAAUGUGUUAAUUGUUUUGAAGU